GGAUGUGAGGGUGAUCUGGCUGUGACAUCUGUCACCUCAUUGAUCGCCAGGGUUGAUUCAGCUGAUCUGGCUGGCUAGGCGGGUGUUGCCUUCCUCCCUCACCACUCCAUGUGCGUUCCUCCUGAAGCUGCACGCUCCAUAGAAGAGGAAGGCCUUUCCCCAAAUAGAGACGGACCGGUUUUCAGUCGAGGGUAUAUGAGUAGCUGCACUCCCCUGCUAGAACAACCAAACAAGCUCCCAAGGUCCAACUCUAACAGUUCAAUAGAUUUGUUACUCUGAAAAUUCUUAUACUGCACAUUAGUAUAUUAUAUAAAAUAUU
This 319-nucleotide small nuclear RNA is filed under the name Erinaceus europaeus (western European hedgehog). Its description in RNAcentral is "7SK RNA (ENSEEUG00000018645.1)". It matches the Rfam family "7SK RNA". Rfam says of the family: 7SK was discovered as an abundant small nuclear RNA in the mid-70s but a possible function has only recently been suggested. Two independent studies have found that 7SK RNA binds the CDK9/cyclin T complex (known as elongation factor P-TEFb). P-TEFb activates transcription by phosphorylating the C-terminal domain of RNA polymerase II. Lineage: Eukaryota; Metazoa; Chordata; Mammalia; Eulipotyphla; Erinaceidae. The record is from RNAcentral.